Molecule: long non-coding RNA, 894 nt
Filed under: Anas platyrhynchos platyrhynchos (common mallard)
Lineage: Eukaryota; Metazoa; Chordata; Aves; Anseriformes; Anatidae
Description: lncRNA (ENSAPLG00000028120.1)
Source: RNAcentral
UAUAUUUCAUAUUUACAGGUUACACUAGACAGUGGCAGUGCCUUCAGAAGCACCUUUACUUUUUUACACAGGUGACACUUACUAGGGAUGUGUAACAGAAAACAGUGGUGUUUAGAGAAAAGGGAUGUGUAUAUUCAUGCAAUUGUAGUACACCUCAUGAACCAUUGUAAAAUCAAGUUAUGAAACUGCUAGGGACUAUUUGCAUAUUCUUUCUGACUUAACAAUUCUGGAACCUGACUGGAGGCAGUGUUUAUUCAUAAGUUACAAGAGUUGCCAAUCAGAUGGAGACCAUUUUAACCAUUAAGAAGAUCAUGAACAGAGAAAUUCACAAUGGAAAAUAACUGAGAGGCAAUGAGACCAGCACAUCAUCCUUCCGUCGCUGAACAGAAUCUGAUGUGCCAUUAAUCAGUUGCUGUGUUUUGGCAUUCCAUCAUUGGAAGGCUGGUGACAACUGUGGAGUUAGAGAAUGCAAGAACGUCCUCUACUGCCAAGGACCAACUGACACACACAGAAGCACAGAACAGGAAAGGCUGCAUGCACCAAAAGGGAGGAAGUUUAUAAAAAGUUUGUUGUUUUCACUCAUGCUGUGACCUAAGUAACAUCCUAGUUUAAACAUUAAACUCAAGGUCAUUAACUUGUCACAGUGAUUUAUGGUUUAAAACUUUAUAGUAAAAUAACAGUUAAGAAGACAUGAAAAGGCUCAUCAAUUGAUAUGAUAAAGCUUGCUGAUAUGUAACACUUUCCAUAUUUCAUAGGGAGAGAGUGAUUUUGUUAUAUUGUUGAAACUACAUGCAUUGUUUAAGCCGGUGACUGAUUCACAUGUCAUGCCUUAAAGAUGAGACUGUCAAAAAUGCUGGGUCCUACUUUUGUAUUUCCAAUAACAUUAAAUACAAG